RNAcentral lists this long non-coding RNA (215 nucleotides) under Musa acuminata (dwarf banana). RNAcentral's name for it is "long non-coding RNA (MACU_LNC004269)". Lineage: Eukaryota; Viridiplantae; Streptophyta; Magnoliopsida; Zingiberales; Musaceae. The record is from RNAcentral.
UUGAAUUGACAAGAACAAGUUUGCCUGUGAGCUGUGGCGAUAUGAUCCUUACACCGCUUGCUCCCUCUUGAUUACAUCGCACAAAGAAGCCACCUGCGGCUUCUAUCCACGAAGACUAACAUGCCUCGGCUACUGUGGUGUAUGGAGCAAAGCAGUACCGCUGGAGUGAGUUGUGUGUAGAAGCUUGCGCAGCAACGAAGCUGUCUGUAGGGCAC